CCUGCCCCCGGAGCCCCCCUCCACUGUAGGCAUAGCUACUGGCUCACCUGUGCGUCAGUAGGUGGCAGGGGAGGGACUGUCUUCGAUCAGAGUUCUGACCCAUGAAUAUCUCUGAGUGAUUAGUACCUAAUAUU
This 134-nucleotide small nucleolar RNA is filed under the name Mus pahari (shrew mouse). RNAcentral describes it as "predicted gene, 25604 (MGP_PahariEiJ_G0034745.1)". The stretch from base 17 to 134 matches the Rfam family "Small nucleolar RNA SNORA17". Rfam says of the family: snoRNA ACA 17 belongs to the H/ACA family of snoRNAs and is predicted to guide pseudouridylation of the 28S rRNA at positions U4659 and U4598. It shares the same host gene together with ACA43. Lineage: Eukaryota; Metazoa; Chordata; Mammalia; Rodentia; Muridae. The record is from RNAcentral.